AUCACUAUUUCUAAGAAACGGCGAUAUCUUUGAUUUUAAAUUUAUAUCAUUUUAAGAAUUUUAUUACGAAGAAAAAUGAUUUCUUUGUAUGAAAAUUCUUCUAACACAAUAAAUUUUAAUUACUGCAAAUUGGUAGCUAUUUUAAUAUUGUAUAGUUUAUAAACCAAAAAUAAACUUUGGCUUCUAUCAUCAGUAUUCCCACUAUUCUCUCUUUGCAGAAAUUCGCUUUCGAAGGACAAUCUUCGAUGUAAGGAAAAGCAGUGAAGUGAAUUAUGAAAUCGUUGAUUAUUCUUUGAAGCCAAAAGUGUUCUCCUUAUGAUACGAAAAUUUUCAAAAAGUAAAAGAACUUUUGACUUUUUAGAAUGAAUGGCUUCAUCACAAAAGAAAGAGAUGCUGUCUUCACUGUGUAUUACUGAGAUGAAAAAAAAAAAAAAAAACCCCUGCUCACAUCAAAAAGAUGCUGUCGGCAUUGUGUAUUACUGAGAUGGAAAAAAAAAAAAAAAAAAAAAACCCUGCUCACAUCAAGAAGGUGCUGUCGGCAUUGUGUAUUACUGAGAUGAAAAAGAAAAACCUGCUGACAUCAAGAAGGU
Long non-coding RNA from Argiope bruennichi, 590 nucleotides. RefSeq lists it as uncharacterized. The record is from RefSeq and is a predicted model, not a curated record. The transcript is spliced from 4 exons. Lineage: Eukaryota; Metazoa; Arthropoda; Arachnida; Araneae; Araneidae.